This 683-nucleotide ribosomal RNA is filed under the name Trichuris trichiura (human whipworm). Its description in RNAcentral is "bacterial SSU rRNA". It matches the Rfam family "Eukaryotic small subunit ribosomal RNA", at positions 1026 to 1646 of the family's 1831-position model. The record is from RNAcentral. Lineage: Eukaryota; Metazoa; Nematoda; Enoplea; Trichinellida; Trichuridae.
GUGACCGUAAACGAUGCCAACCAGCGAUUCGGCGAUGUUCUUUUUGUGACUCGCUGAGCAGCUUCCGGGAAACCAAAGUGUUUCGGUUCCGGGGGAAGUAUGGUUGCAAAGCUGAAACUUAAAGGAAUUGACGGAAGGGCACCACCAGGAGUGGAGCAUGCGGCUUAAUUUGACUCAACACGGGAAAACUCACCCGUCCCGAACACUGCGAGGAUUGACAGAUCAAGAGCUCUUUCUUGAUUCAGUGGGUAGUGGUGCAUGGCCGUUCUUAGUUGGUGGAGCGAUUUGUCUGGCUAAUUCCGAUAACGAACGAGACUCUGGCCUACUAACUAGCGGCGGUAUUCACGUCUCCCGCGCGACGCCGCGCUGCGCUGCGGCUGAGCACAGUCGUCGCCGUUUGCGCGAGCGCUCCGCGGAGCACCUGCAGUGCCGGCAGCCGCUUCUUAGAGGGACCAGCGACACUUUCGCAAGCCGCACGAGAAAGAGCAAUAACAGGUCUGUGAUGCCCUUAGAUGUACGGGGCUGCACGCGUGCUACACUGACGGCGUCAGCGUGCGUUCAAGCCCGGCCUGGCAAGGCCAGGAAAUCGGUUGAAACGUUCUCGUGACUGGGACAGGGAAUUGCAAUUAUUUCCCUCGAACGAGGAAUUCCCAGUAAGCGCGAGUCAUCAGCUUGCGUUGACU